RNAcentral lists this ribosomal RNA (292 nucleotides) under uncultured bacterium. RNAcentral's name for it is "partial 16S ribosomal RNA". It matches the Rfam family "Bacterial small subunit ribosomal RNA", at positions 505 to 796 of the family's 1533-position model. The record is from RNAcentral.
GUGCCAGCAGCCGCGGUAAUACGAAGGGGGCUAGCGUUGUUCGGAAUCACUGGGCGUAAAGGGCGCGUAGGCGGCCAUAUAAGUCGGGGGUGAAAGCCUGUGGCUCAACCACAGAAUUGCCUUCGAUACUGUAUGGCUCGAGACCGGGAGAGGUAAGUGGAACUGCGAGUGUAGAGGUGAAACUCGUAGAUAUUCGCAAGAACACCAGUGGCGAAGGCGGCUUACUGGUCCGGUUCUGACGCUGAGGCGCGAAAGCGUGGGGAGCAAACAGGAUUAGAUACCCCAGUAGUCC